RNAcentral lists this ribosomal RNA (621 nucleotides) under uncultured bacterium. Its description in RNAcentral is "bacterial SSU rRNA". It matches the Rfam family "Bacterial small subunit ribosomal RNA", at positions 338 to 950 of the family's 1533-position model. The record is from RNAcentral.
CCUACGGGAGGCAGCAGUGGGGAAUAUUGGACAAUGGGGGGAACCCUGAUCCAGCCAUGCCGCGUGUGUGAAGAAGGCCUUAUGGUUGUAAAGCACUUUAAGCGAGGAGGAGGCUCUCUUGGUUAAUACCCAAGAAGAGUGGACGUUACUCGCAGAAUAAGCACCAGCUAACUCUGUGCCAGCAGCCGCGGUAAUACAGAGGGUGCGAGCGUUAAUCGGAUUUACUGGGCGUAAAGCGUGCGUAGGCGGCUUUUUAAGUCGGAUGUGAAAUCCCCGAGCUUAACUUGGGAAUUGCAUUCGAUACUGGGAAGCUAGAGUAUGGGAGAGGAUGGUAGAAUUCCAGGUGUAGCGGUGAAAUGCGUAGAGAUCUGGAGGAAUACCGAUGGCGAAGGCAGCCAUCUGGCCUAAUACUGACGCUGAGGUACGAAAGCAUGGGGANCAAACAGGAUUAGAUACCCUGGUAGUCCAUGCCGUAAACGAUGUCUACUAGCCGUUGGGGCCUUUGAGGCUUUAGUGGCGCAGCUAACGCGAUAAGUAGACCGCCUGGGGAGUACGGUCGCAAGCUAAAACUCAAAUGAAAUUGACCGGNUUGAGACGNGCGAGGACGACACGAGGGAGAGG